This 1014-nucleotide long non-coding RNA is filed under the name Scophthalmus maximus (turbot). RNAcentral's name for it is "lncRNA (ENSSMAG00000028895.1)". The record is from RNAcentral. Lineage: Eukaryota; Metazoa; Chordata; Actinopteri; Pleuronectiformes; Scophthalmidae.
UCUCCUUGCUGCUAAAAAAAAAAGGCCUCAACCUCUGCGCGCGCGUGUGUUUGUGCGCGCGCAUUAGAGCCAUUUUGAGAUAACGAUCAUUAACACUCUCUGAUGGCUUUGGCAUGAAAGACCGUGAGAGCGUUCAUCCCAAGGAAAUGGAAGAGGACAAACAUUCAGGGGAAGCCUUUUUUUUCCCGAUUUUCCCGGGGACAUGUUCAGCGCGUUAGAACGGGGAAAGAAGAAGCGGCGGCGGUGGUGGUGGUGGUGGCGGUGGUGGUGGUGGCGGUGGUGGUGGUGGCGGUGGCGGUGGCGGUGGCGGUGGUGGUGCACAGACCCGCAGCACUCGAGAAACCACCGACGGGCCGCGUUUUCAAGGACACAACCUUUAGUUUGUUUUGCUGAGGAGUGAAGUUGAAAGCGCGGGGGCGUCUAAUCCUCUGGACGUCGGCUUGCCUGAACACUGUCAUUUUGAAUUUCCGCUGCCCAGGGGUUCCACAGGCGCGUGAGCUCACGUGUCCUAUAGCAUCUUUGUCCGGAAAAAAAGGCCUGGUGGAGCUCUCGCCCCGUCCCCUCCACUGUGACCCAGGAGGCCGUGUCCUUCCCUUCCUCCGUAGCGUCGUGUCAGUGCUAAACCUCUCAGGAACAUCCAGAGAACAUCACAGGUUUGAGCAGCAGCAGCGAGAACAAGCAGCACUACAAAAACACACACACACACACACACACACUAAGACGCAAAACAGGACGUUGCAACACAUGAAGAGCAUUUUGAGAAACACUGCUGAAGACUCGAAAAAAUUAACAAUAGAAAAAGAACAAUAGAAAGAGAAGCUGUUCAGGGUGCUGUAGAUUUUCAUAGGGCAUGGCAAACUGCUCGCUUGUUGAGAAACGGAGCCGCAUGCAUCGGUGCGUGCGAAGCAUAUGGGAUAAUCAUUUACAGCCAAGGGUUGUAAUUUAUACGGCUUGUUUGUUGUUAAAGAAACGCCGUGGCUCAGUCAGAAACCUGGUCGGUGCUAAAAAUCAGUG